Molecule: ribosomal RNA, 253 nt
Filed under: uncultured prokaryote
Description: partial 16S ribosomal RNA
Rfam family: Bacterial small subunit ribosomal RNA
Source: RNAcentral
ACGGAGGGUGCGAGCGUUGUCCGGAAUCACUGGGCGUAAAGGGCGCGUAGGCGGCGCGACAAGGCGGCGGUGAAAGUCCGGGGCUCAACCCCGGAUCGGCCGUGGCGACUGUCGCGCUCGAGCACAGUAGAGGCGGGUGGAAUUCCGGGUGUAGCGGUGGAAUGCGUAGAGAUCCGGAAGAACACCAGUGGCGAAGGCGACUCACUGGACAUGUAUUGACGCUGAGGUGCGAAAGCGUGGGGAGCAAACAGGA